This 859-nucleotide ribosomal RNA is filed under the name uncultured bacterium. RNAcentral describes it as "bacterial SSU rRNA". It matches the Rfam family "Bacterial small subunit ribosomal RNA", at positions 524 to 1381 of the family's 1533-position model. The record is from RNAcentral.
UACGGAGGGUGCAAGCGUUAAUCGGAAUCACUGGGCGUAAAGAGUGCGUAGGCGGUACGUUAGGUCUGUCGUGAAAUCCCCGGGCUCAACCUGUGAAUGGCGGUAGAAACCGGCGCACUAGAGUAUGGGAGAGGAUGGUGGAAUUCCUGGUGUAGCGGUGAAAUGCGCAGAUAUCUGGAGGAACAUCGGUGGCGAAGGCGGCCCUCUGGCCCAAUACUGACGCUGAGGAACGAAAGCGUGGGGAGCGAACAGGAUUAGAUACCCUGGUAGUCCACGCCCUUAACGAUGAAUCCUAGAUGUUUGGUUCCUAGCGUGGUGAGCGUCGUAGAUAUCGCGCUAUGUAUUCCGCCUGGGAAGUGCGCGCGCACGGGUAUAACUCAAAGGAGUUGACGGGGGGCCGCACACGCGGUGGAGCACGUGGGGUAAUUUGAUGCAACGCGAAGAGCCUUUCCUGGGCGUGACACGUCCGGAAUCAUGCAGAGAUGCGGGAGUGCCCUUCGGGGAAUCGGAACACAGGUGGCGCAUGGCUGUUGUCAGCUCGUGUCGUGAGAUGGUGGGAUAAGUCGCGCAGCGAGCGCAACCCUUGUCAUUAGUUCACAGCGGUUCGGCCGGGCAUUGUAGGGAGCCUGCCGGUGCCAAUCCGGAGGAAGGUGGGGAGGACGUCAAGUCUUCAUGGCCUUUAUGUCCAGGGCUCCCCCCGUGUUCCAAGGGCGCGUCCAGAGGGAAGGCAAGCCGGGAGGGGGAGCAGUCCCCAGAAAGCGCGUUGUAGUUGGGUCGGCAGUUUGCACUUGGACUGCAGGAAUUGGGAAUCGUUGGUAAUCGCGGUUCAGCAUGCCGCGGUGAAUACGUUCCCGGGCCU